Molecule: long non-coding RNA, 222 nt
Filed under: Gossypium barbadense (sea-island cotton)
Lineage: Eukaryota; Viridiplantae; Streptophyta; Magnoliopsida; Malvales; Malvaceae
Description: long non-coding RNA (GBAR_LNC009414)
Source: RNAcentral
AAGCCAAUCUCAUAGGUAGCACACCCCUAACCCCUGCAAUGGUGGCAGCGAUGGGACGGGACUAUGCUCGUGACAUGUGUUUUGGGGACCAUUAUAAGGUCCCCAAUGUCCCUAUUUUGACCGGAUGAAAGGAAAAAGAAAUUUAGAAGAAGAAAAAGAGAGCGGGAAGGGAAGAAAGGGAAAAAAGAAAGCAGAAAAGAGAAGCUGAAUAGAGACAGGAGA